UACGGAGGAUCCAAGCGUUAUCCGGAAUUACUGGGCGUAAAGAGUUGCGUAGGUGGCAUUGUAAGUAGAUAGUGAAAGCGUGGGGCUCAACCUCAUAUCCAUUAUCUAAACUGCAAAGCUGGAGGACGAGAGAGGUUAUUAGAAUUCCUUGUGUAGGAGUGAAAUCCGUAGAUAUAAGGAGGAAUACCGAUGGCGUAGGCAGAUAACUGGCUCGUUCCUGACACUAAGGCACGAAAGCGUGGGUAGCAAACGGG
Molecule: ribosomal RNA, 254 nt
Filed under: uncultured bacterium
Lineage: Bacteria
Description: partial 16S ribosomal RNA
Rfam family: Bacterial small subunit ribosomal RNA
Source: RNAcentral